GACGAACGCUGGCGGCGUGCUUAACACAUGCAAGUCGAACGGUGAAGGGACCAGCUUGCUGGUUCUGGAUGAGUGGCGAACGGGUGAGUAACACGUGAGUAACCUGCCCCCUUCUUCUGGAUAACCGCAUGAAAGUGUGGCUAAUACGGGAUAUUCUGGGUCUGUCGCAUGGCGGGCCCGGGAAAGAUAUUGCUUCGGUGGGGGAUGGGCUCGCGGCCUAUCAGCUUGUUGGUGGGGUGAUGGCCUACCAAGGCGGUGACGGGUAGCCGGCCUGAGAGGGUGGACGGUGACACUGGGACUGAGACACGGCCCAGACUCCUACGGGAGGCAGCAGUGGGGAAUAUUGCACAAUGGGCGCAAGCCUGAUGCAGCGACGCCGCGUGAGGGAUGGAGGCCUUCGGGUUGUAAACCUCUUUCGCCAGUGAAGCAGGCCUGCUCCUUGUGGGUGGGUUGACGGUAGCUGGAUAAGAAGCGCCGGCUAACUACGUG
Molecule: ribosomal RNA, 489 nt
Filed under: uncultured bacterium
Lineage: Bacteria
Description: partial 16S ribosomal RNA
Rfam family: Bacterial small subunit ribosomal RNA
Source: RNAcentral